This 253-nucleotide ribosomal RNA is filed under the name uncultured bacterium. Its description in RNAcentral is "partial 16S ribosomal RNA". It matches the Rfam family "Bacterial small subunit ribosomal RNA", at positions 524 to 776 of the family's 1533-position model. The record is from RNAcentral.
GACGGAGGGUGCAAGCGUUGUUCGGAAUUACUGGGCGUAAAGGGCGCGUAGGCGGUCUGUUAAGUUCGGUGUGAAAGCCCCCGGCUCACCUGGGGAACUGCGCCGGAAACCGACAGACUCGAGUACCGGAGAGGAGGGUGGAAUUCCUGGUGUAGCGGUGAAAUGCGUAGAUAUCAGGAAGAACACCCGUGGCUAAGGCGGCUCUCUAGUACGGUACUGACGCUGAGACGCGAAAGCGUGGGGAGCGAACAGG